UGGGGAUGAUUUUGAAAAAAGAAUUUAUUUUUGACUCAAAUAGGGUAACAAUGGAUAUUUUUAUUUUUUUAUUUUUUUUUUAGGUAAAAACAAGAAGGCCACACAUCAUUUUGAACUCUGAUUGCUUUAUUUUCAAAAGAUUAAUUUUACGACUGGAUGACCUCAACAUGAAUCGUUUUUUCUUUUUGUUUCUUCCUUUUUUCCUUCUAGACUGCCCUUUCGGGUUUUCAAUCUAGUGGGCUUAUUCUUUUGCUUUUUUUUAUAUUACUUUGUCUUUCUUUUUUCAAUUUUUUCAAUUUGUCCUAUGGGAUUCAGAGAUCACCCUACUAGCGCAAGUGAGAAAACUUUUGGUCAGGCCAAUCUACCCUAAUGAAAAGGUUUACUUUGUUAUUGAGGGCAGCGGCGAUGUUUGUUGCGGGGAAAUCCUUUAUUUUGGGAAAAGUGAUGGGUGGAGAUUUUCAAGCAGCAUGUGUACAAACGUCUUGAGAGAAGCGUCAAAAUUGUUAUUUUUGAUUUAACAUUUGACCUCGGAAAAGUCUGACACUAUAACUUUUGUUCUUAUUGCCAUUUUUUAUAUCAUUUUUUUUUUUGCUAUUUUCCAAAAACAAGAGUUUGAAGAUUUGCAAGAAAGAAGAAUGACUCAAGAUCGCCAUCAUUUUUUCACUUAUUUUUUCACAAUACCCUUUCAGAACUCGAUUUCCAGCCCUACUUGGAGAAACCCUGUAGAGAAAGUUCGCAUUUAAAGUCAUGGAUGACGGCGCGAUAUCAAUGAACACAGAUCUCUUGGCAAGAUACUUCACAACAUCAAAUUCACUUGUANGAUGACUUAUGUUUUCUUAUGCGUUUCUAGAGCCCGCAUCAUUGUUUCAUAGCAUCUGUAGAGACAUUCUCAAGCCUUGCCUUAGUGUAGGGUUGACUUUCUUUACACUUUAAUAAUUCUGAAUCGAUCAAAACUUGUCUUUGCGCUUGACAACAGACACUUUUGGUGUAAUGAUCAAUAGCCCCUUCAUGGUGAAUACCUUUCGUAUCGUGAGUCUUGAAGUAUUGAGGGUCUUAAGGCUUCAUGUAACAAUUAGAGACAAGACCUUUUUGAAGCAGACUUGGAAGCAACGUUGCUUAAGUCAUAUGUAUAGGAGUGAAGCUCGCAGCCUUUUCUCUUGAUCAAACAUUUUCCUGCCCAACGGCUUAGUGAGAAGUUGAGUUUGAAUCAAAUAUCCCAUUUGUCUUGCAAUUGUUUCAAGUGAAGGGUAGGCCAACGAGAUUUGAGCGAUAGGAGGUGAUUAAACUCUUUGCUUUCUUCUCUUCGCAAGCUUAAACCCGACCUGUUCAUAUUUGUUGUCAUGAUAUGACUUUGCGCGAUCUUUCCAAUCCUCACAUUAACUUCAAUUCUUUCUUCAAGUAUCCUCAGGUCUACAAAGUUUGAGGAACACUGCUCAUCAUGAUCUCAUAGAAGGGUGAUCGCAGAGUAUUUAGGAAUGUGUCAACCAUUUCAUUAUCACUCAUAAGAGACUUUCCUUGAGCAACAUUCUUUUCGCCUUUGGGAAUACUUUUUGAAUGAUUCAGACUCCUCCACAAAGCUCUACAGUUGUAAUCUAUUGGGUGCCACAUCCAUGUUAUAUUUACACUGCCUCAAGAAAGUAUCCACCAGAUCCUCCCAAGAUUGGAUGCACGAAUGUUCAAGAUGAUAGCUUCAGUUUAGUGGCAUACCGGCCAAUCUACCUUGGAAGAAAUGAAUUAGUAACUUUUCAUCAUAUGCACACACAGUCGUUUUCUUGUCAUACGCCAUGAGAUGGCUUAUAAGACAAGCGGUCCCUCUAUAUUUCUCACCUUUGGAAAAUUUAAACUUUUGAAUGUAUCAUCAGAUUCGGGACUAAGCAAGCCUUGCAACAUUUUCAUACUUAGCGCUUCAUUCACCUUCUAUGGCUGUCAUCCUUUUUCAACAUUUCAAAUUUGCCCCUGUCAACCUCAACAUCUACUGGUGUGCAAAUAGGGAAAGAAUAUUUCAACUCAGAUUGCCUUGUCAUCGUCAUGCUCACAAUACUUGAUUAAAGCAUUUUCCUAGGGACCAUGAAAGUGCUUGCCCCAA
RNAcentral lists this long non-coding RNA (2086 nucleotides) under Vigna radiata. Its description in RNAcentral is "long non-coding RNA (VRAD_LNC015372)". The record is from RNAcentral. Lineage: Eukaryota; Viridiplantae; Streptophyta; Magnoliopsida; Fabales; Fabaceae.